GGCGCGUUUGGUUGAUAGAGGUCGUGGUAGAAGAAGGUUGCCUAUUUCAGCGGUGACCACGACGUUAUGGUCGCGUGCAUCGGCACAUUAAUAGAUUUCGGAGAGAGCAGUCACAGCCGAGGCAUUGGCGACGAAUGAGAAAGAGCACAAUAAAUGCCAACUAAAUGUAAACUCAGUUGUACUACACAGACAUAUGACAAACAAAUAAAGCGGUGCAGCAGAAAUGUCAAAUAAGCAAAAAAAAAAAACAUGUAAAGGAGCCACUACUCGUGGGAGACACUGAUAAGUGUGGUUAAUAAUAAAACAGAUAAUGCCAUCUGCGUAGCUAUAUAGUUGGACUAUCAAUUUCAUUUAGAAAGGUUGACAUUUGAAAUGCGGCACAGGUACGGUACUACGGUUGCAGUGCGAAUUUCAGCGAAAAUUUCAAAAAUAUGUUAACAGUAGUGAAAGUAGAUAGAGCCCAAGCAGCUUACAGAAGGUUUCAAUAAAAAAAAGAGUAAAUUGAAUCGCCCGGUGCAAUUUUUGCAGAACACCGACUCCAAGCAGCUCGCAGCAGGUUUCAGUAAAGAAAUUAGUAUAUUGGAUCGAUCCGCCCAAACCCAGGACCUCAAUUCAGUAGACAAUUUAUUGGAAACUACCGUUUUUCCAAUAAUCAUCAAUAUAAGGAGGAAAAAUAUAUAUUUUAUUUAAAAAAUACAGUGUGCUUAGGACAUAAGUAGUUAAGUUUACACCAAAUUUUUUCACAGAAAAAAAUUGUUGUAUAAGAUAAAAUAAAAAAGCUAAAAACUUGAA
Bactrocera latifrons is the source of this 792-nucleotide long non-coding RNA. RefSeq lists it as uncharacterized. The record is from RefSeq and is a predicted model, not a curated record. NCBI's taxonomy places the organism in Eukaryota, Metazoa, Arthropoda, Insecta, Diptera, Tephritidae. The transcript is spliced from 3 exons.